This 459-nucleotide ribosomal RNA is filed under the name Triticum aestivum (bread wheat). RNAcentral describes it as "partial small subunit ribosomal RNA". Lineage: Eukaryota; Viridiplantae; Streptophyta; Magnoliopsida; Poales; Poaceae. The record is from RNAcentral.
AUGGCUGCCAGUGUCCACCAUCUCCUUGUGCUGCUCCUAGCCUUCACAGCCUUCAAUGGCAGCUCUGCGGCAUCUCGUCCUCUUUUGGACACGGCAGCUGCACCAGAGGCCACACCAGCUCAGCGUUCUACACCGGAAGCUCCAACAACACCGCCUCCAAUGCCUUCCAUUCCCGCAGUUCCGAAACUGACAAUGCCGCCAAUACCAUUCAUUCCUAUCCCGAAGGUCGCCAUGGCACCAACCGCCCCUGGCACAGUUCCAUCUCUUCCGAUUCCGGCGAUCCCAACCACCAUGCCGACCAUUCCUACUUUGCCUGUUACCAUGCCACCAAUGCCCUCAGUUCCAAUUACCAUUCCAUCCAUUCCGAUCACAAUACCAACAACUAUCCCUACCAUUCCUGGGUUCCAGAUGCCACCUAUUCCAUUCAUGUCCCCACCUCCGCAAACCACCAGCCCAUGA